UUUGAAAUCUGGCGCCUUCGGUGUCCGAGUUGUAAUUUGAAGAAGGUAACUUUGGUUUUGGCUCUUGUCUAUGUUCCUUGGAACAGGACGUCACAGAGGGUGAGAAUCCCGUGCGAUGAGAUGCCCAAUUCCAUGUAAAGUGCUUUCGAAGAGUCGAGUUGUUUGGGAAUGCAGCUCUAAGUGGGUGGUAAAUUCCAUCUAAAGCUAAAUAUUGGCGAGAGACCGAUAGCGAACAAGUACAGUGAUGGAAAGAUGAAAAGAACUUUGAAAAGAGAGUGAAAAAGUACGUGAAAUUGUUGAAAGGGAAGGGCUUGAGAUCAGACUUGGUAUUUUGUAUGUCUUGCUUUCGGGUAGGGCCUCUGCAGUUUAUCGGGCCAGCAUCAGUUUGGAUGGUAGGAUAAUGACAUUGGAACGUAGCACUGCUUCGGUGGUGUGUUAUAGACUUUGUUGAUACUGCCUGUCUAGACUGAGGACUGCGUCUUUGACUAGGAUGCUGGCAUAAUGAUCCUAAGCACC
This 516-nucleotide ribosomal RNA is filed under the name Scheffersomyces sp. BG090815.8.10.2.2.20. RNAcentral's name for it is "eukaryotic LSU rRNA". It matches the Rfam family "Eukaryotic large subunit ribosomal RNA", at positions 114 to 648 of the family's 3401-position model. Lineage: Eukaryota; Fungi; Ascomycota; Pichiomycetes; Serinales; Debaryomycetaceae. The record is from RNAcentral.